GGGUACUUGUACCUGGUGGCGAGCGGCGGACGGGUGAGUAAUGCCUAGGAAUCUGCCUGGUAGUGGGGGAUAACGCUCGGAAACGGACGCUAAUACCGCAUACGUCCUACGGGAGAAAGCAGGGGACCUUCGGGCCUUGCGCUAUCAGAUGAGCCUAGGUCGGAUUAGCUAGUUGGUGAGGUAAUGGCUCACCAAGGCGACGAUCCGUAACUGGUCUGAGAGGAUGAUCAGUCACACUGGAACUGAGACACGGUCCAGACUCCUACGGGAGGCAGCAGUGGGGAAUAUUGGACAAUGGGCGAAAGCCUGAUCCAGCCAUGCCGCGUGUGUGAAGAAGGUCUUCGGAUUGUAAAGCACUUUAAGUUGGGAGGAAGGGCAGUUACCUAAUACGUAUCUGUUUUGACGUUACCGACAGAAUAAGCACCGGCUAACUCUGUGCCAGCAGCCGCGGUAAUACAGAGGGUGCAAGCGUUAAUCGGAAUUACUGGGCGUAAAGCGCGCGUAGGUGGUUCGUUAAGUUGGAUGUGAUAUCCCCGGGCUCAACCUGGGAACUGCAUUCAAAACUGACGAGCUAUAAUAUGGUAGA
RNAcentral lists this ribosomal RNA (586 nucleotides) under Pseudomonas mandelii. RNAcentral describes it as "bacterial SSU rRNA". It matches the Rfam family "Bacterial small subunit ribosomal RNA", at positions 74 to 655 of the family's 1533-position model. The record is from RNAcentral. Lineage: Bacteria; Pseudomonadati; Pseudomonadota; Gammaproteobacteria; Pseudomonadales; Pseudomonadaceae.